GCGCCUGUGGCGAAAUUGGUAGACGCGCUGUCUUGAGGGGGCAGUGAGGAAACUCGUGCCAGUUCGAGUCUGGCCAGGCGCACCA
RNAcentral lists this transfer RNA (85 nucleotides) under Azohydromonas caseinilytica. Its description in RNAcentral is "Azohydromonas sp. G-1-1-14 tRNA-Leu". It matches the Rfam family "tRNA". From Rfam's summary of the family: Transfer RNA (tRNA) molecules are approximately 80 nucleotides in length. Lineage: Bacteria; Pseudomonadati; Pseudomonadota; Betaproteobacteria; Burkholderiales; Sphaerotilaceae. The record is from RNAcentral.